Long non-coding RNA from Marmota monax (woodchuck), 983 nucleotides. RefSeq lists it as uncharacterized. The record is from RefSeq and is a predicted model, not a curated record. NCBI's taxonomy places the organism in Eukaryota, Metazoa, Chordata, Mammalia, Rodentia, Sciuridae. The transcript is spliced from 2 exons.
AGCGGGGAGGGAGCCCAGACGCUGAGUUCCGGCCCUGGCUGAGCUUGCGUUGCACCAACAUCCAUCCCCCGCCCCUCGACAUUGGGUUCCUGCCCAGGGUUCUGGCUUUCUUCCUGGGCUUUGUAGCGCGGCCGGGGGCGGGGCUUUCUAACCUCUCAAGUGGCAAUUCCUUUAGGUUUUGGGGCCUUGGUUGCCCAGAAUGGGCUGCGGCAUAUUCUGUGCUUUCCCGGGCUGGGACGAGCUGACAGAAAUUCUGGGUUUAGCGGUCGCCGACCCAGUGGGCCGCCAUCGGCGCCCAGAGGUGGCUGGGAAGAAUGGGCGAGUUUAGUAGGCGUCCCAGGCUGUCAAAAUCUUUGCUGUUGGCUCGUGCUGUCCAGCUGCGUUAUCUGCGGGCACAACAUCUUUGUUUGUAUGUGGUGCUGAGGAUCGAACCCGUGCCGCACGCAAACCAGGCGAGCGCGCUACCGCUUGAGCCAUAUCCCCAGCCCCAGAAUUCUUUCUAAUACCUAGAACCAUAAGUUAUAGGGAAUUGUUAAAACUUUUACUUUCAAACAUAUUUUUAUUGUAAAGAAGUGAUCAAUAAAACGUUUUUCAAACAUUAAUUACAUUUGGAUAACUUGGGGGAAAAGAACCUAAAUAUAAGUUAGAGAUGAUAAAGGAGCAAUGCUAAGACUGUCUUGCCUGCUAGAGAGGGGUCACAUUCUCCUUUGAAUGUUUAUUACUUUUCUCACCCCAAAGGUUCUGACUCAAGAUUAAUUCUCCCCCGAAUGUGUAUUUCUUACUUUACCCCAAAGGAUGUCUCUUACUCUUGGAAUGGCCUGCAUUCUCCCCUUGCUUUUCUAAAUAAAAUUCUGUGCCUACUGGGGUAGGGUGGGGAGAAUGAUGUUGAAAGCUCAUUUAUGUAUUUUUUUAAUGGAUGAGGGUGUUUAUUCAAUUGUUAUAUACUUUCUGUUGGAUGUAUUAUAAAAAGUGAUUUCACGGUU